GUGGCAAUAAAAUUUCACUGAGUGUUUAUAAAGAGACUUCAGAAAUGCUGCACAAAGGUGAAGAUGGUACUGCUUUUCAGUGGGAGCAAUUGUUCUACUGACAACACAUGUUGCCAUAGCAUUUUAUUAUCAUUUUUCACCAGUCCCUUUGCCGUUGCUGGCAGUCAAGGAGGCAACACUGUGGCAGGAUAUGUUGAUAUCUGUUGUUGUUUCCCACUGGUCUCAUUGGGAACUGAUCCCAGCUUUGUUUCUGCCCUAUGGUCAUCCAGGACCCAGUUCUCCAGACUGCUGUGAGUAGUAUGUAAUCACUGAGUUGGGGAUAUUUGGUAUAUCUUAGUUUUGGGCUGCUCUCCUGUACUUGCUGAGGC
Molecule: long non-coding RNA, 368 nt
Filed under: Pavo cristatus (Indian peafowl)
Lineage: Eukaryota; Metazoa; Chordata; Aves; Galliformes; Phasianidae
Description: lncRNA (ENSPSTG00000009929.1)
Source: RNAcentral